RNAcentral lists this ribosomal RNA (266 nucleotides) under uncultured bacterium. RNAcentral describes it as "partial 16S ribosomal RNA". It matches the Rfam family "Bacterial small subunit ribosomal RNA", at positions 524 to 788 of the family's 1533-position model. The record is from RNAcentral.
UACGUAGGGUGCGAGCGUUGUCCGGAAUUAUUGGGCGUAAAGAGCUUGUAGGCGGUUUGUCGCGUCUGCCGUGAAAUUUCGAGGCUCAACCUCGAACUUGCGGUGGGUACGGGCAGACUAGAGUGUGGUAGGGGAGACUGGAAUUCCUGGUGUAGCGGUGAAAUGCGCAGAUAUCAGGAGGAACACCGAUGGCGAAGGCAGGUCUCCUGGGCCACUACUGACGCUGAGAAGCGAAAGCAUGGGGGAGCGAACAGGAUAGAAACCCC